GCGACCAUACCACGUUGGAAAUACGGGUUCUCGUCUGAUCACCGGAAGUAAGCAACGUCGGACCCAGUUAGUACCUGCAUGUGUGACCGACUGGGAAUACUAGGUGUUGCGCCC
Molecule: ribosomal RNA, 114 nt
Filed under: Fasciola hepatica (liver fluke)
Lineage: Eukaryota; Metazoa; Platyhelminthes; Trematoda; Plagiorchiida; Fasciolidae
Source: RNAcentral